AUAUCAGUCAUGCAUAGCAUAUCAAUAAGCGGAGGAAAAGAAACUAACAAGGAUUCCCUUAGUAACGGCGAGUGAAGCGGGAAGAGCUCAAAUUUGAAAUCUUCAAGGUUCUACCUCGACGAAUUGUAGUUUAUAGAAGUGUUUUCUGUUAGUGGAGUGGCAAAAGUUCUUUGGAAUAGGACAUCAUAGAGGGUGAGAAUCCCGUAUUUGGUCAUUCCUCCUAGCGUUGUGAUACACUUUCAACGAGUCGGAUUGUUUGGGAAUGCAGUCCAAAAUGGGUGGUAAAUUUCAUCUAAAGCUAAAUAUUGGCGAGAGACCGAUAGCGAACAAGUACCUUGAGGGAAAGAUGAAAAGAACUUUGAAAAGAGAGUUAAACAGUACGUGAAAUUGUCAAAAGGGAAGCGUUUGACACCAGUGUUGUUUUUCCGAAAAUCAAUUACGAAUGUUUUGUUUUUGAGGAGUUAUGACUUCAUCGGCUUGCUCCUUUCUUUACGAAACUUUCUUAAUGCACUUUUCGGUUAACAAGUCAACAUCAAUUUCUUUUGUUGUAAAAGGGUAUGAGGAAGGUGGCUUUCUUUUCGGAGAAAGUGUUUAUAGCCUUGUAGCCUCUGCAAUCGGAGAGAUUGAGGUCUGCAGCGUAGAUCCUUCGGGGUUAGAUACGUUUGUGCUAAGUUAUAGCUUUUCAUAGACAACUUGUUGACUAUGUUUAGUCUUGUAGCUUACUCGCUGACGCUAUUUUACCUACGCUUAGGAUGUUGAUGUGAUACUGCGAGCA
RNAcentral lists this ribosomal RNA (775 nucleotides) under uncultured Neocallimastigales. RNAcentral's name for it is "partial large subunit ribosomal RNA". It matches the Rfam family "Eukaryotic large subunit ribosomal RNA", at positions 22 to 646 of the family's 3401-position model. The record is from RNAcentral. Lineage: Eukaryota; Fungi; Neocallimastigomycota; Neocallimastigomycetes; Neocallimastigales.